Aedes aegypti (yellow fever mosquito) is the source of this 748-nucleotide long non-coding RNA. RefSeq lists it as uncharacterized. Lineage: Eukaryota; Metazoa; Arthropoda; Insecta; Diptera; Culicidae. The record is from RefSeq and is a predicted model, not a curated record. The transcript is spliced from 2 exons.
CAAACAAUAUAAUGUGAAGUAAUAAUCAUGAAAAAUCAUAAUCCAAACGUUUGAUAGAACGAUUUUUUGAUGGACUAUGUGUACUUGGUCCACUCUGACUGAACUAAAAACCACCGUUCAGUAAGUUGGUUAACUCUGAAUGAAAAAUUAACAAGAAAAUAACAAUCAUUUAAUACUGCAUAGCUCUAAGAUAAACAGAUUAUCAAGACCCUUCGACACCAGUAUCGUAAAUUCAUCACUAAUUCAUAUCAGUGGCAAUAUACCGAUCGGUACGCUAUAGGAACGAUCGAUGGGUGUUGGAUAUGCUCUUAUCAGAGAGAUUGAUAGCCUAUAAAGGUGAGAUCUACUGCGGGUAAAGUGUACAGUGGUUAACAAAUUGUGUCACGCAUUCUAUUGUGGGGGACGCAAUAGGUGCCUUUUAGCGAUUUUCCCGAUUCAAACCCUAGAGAUCUUAACCAUUGAGCAUGAUCAAGGGAGCUAUACAUUUACCCACCUUACUUUAUAUGACGAUGGGACAAAUUUCCCAAUUGGCGAGGAACGUACCCCUCGAGAGGUGGUCUUUUGAUACCUGAGAAAAACGUUAUUUUUUUCAUCCGCUAUUCCGGAAACAUUUAUUGCACUAAUUAUUUACUCAUAUACCAACAGUUUACUUUCAAUGUGUUUUAGGCCACAAAAUUACAUUUGUCUUUUGAGUUAACUUGACACCAUGCCCCAAACCCUCCAAUUAAAACGUAGUCCACUUAGACAU